This 550-nucleotide ribosomal RNA is filed under the name uncultured bacterium. RNAcentral describes it as "bacterial SSU rRNA". It matches the Rfam family "Bacterial small subunit ribosomal RNA", at positions 354 to 896 of the family's 1533-position model. The record is from RNAcentral.
UGGGGGAAUUUUGGACAAUGGGGGCAANCCCUGAUCCAGCAAUGCCGCGUGUGUGAAGAAGGCCUUCGGGUUGUAAAGCACUUUUGUCCGGAAAGAAAUUGCUCUGGCUAAUACCUGGGGUAGAUGACGGUACCGGAAGAAUAAGCACCGGCUAACUACGUGCCAGCAGCCGCGGUAAUACGUAGGGUGCGAGCGUUAAUCGGAAUUACUGGGCGUAAAGCGUGCGCAGGCGGUUUUGUAAGACAGGCGUGAAAUCCCCGGGCUCAACCUGGGAAUUGCGCUUGUGACUGCAAGGCUAGAGUGCGUCAGAGGGGGGUAGAAUUCCACGUGUAGCAGUGAAAUGCGUAGAGAUGUGGAGGAAUACCGAUGGCGAAGGCAGCCCCCUGGGACGUGACUGACGCUCAUGCACGAAAGCGUGGGGAGCAAACAGGAUUAGAUACCCUGGUAGUCCACGCCCUAAACGAUGUCAACUAGUUGUUGGGGAUUCAUUUUCUCAGUAACGUAGCUAACGCGUGAAGUUGACCGCCUGGGGAGUACGGUCGCAAGAUUA